GUGCCUUAAACUAAUGAGUAAGGAAAAUAUAGAGCCUUGGUGACGCUUGGCUCCGCUAGCCAAACUAGCACCAUAAAUUUUUGACGAGGUUCAGGUCGUCCCCUUGAGCAGCCUGUCUACUUUUACAGAUUGCUCGGGUGACAGCGAUCUACCUC
Molecule: small nuclear RNA, 155 nt
Organism: Schistocerca americana (American grasshopper)
Lineage: Eukaryota; Metazoa; Arthropoda; Insecta; Orthoptera; Acrididae
Product: U12 minor spliceosomal RNA
Exons: 1
Source: RefSeq, a predicted model, not a curated record